This is a long non-coding RNA of Mustela lutreola (European mink), 2434 nucleotides long. RefSeq lists it as uncharacterized. The record is from RefSeq and is a predicted model, not a curated record. The transcript is spliced from 3 exons. NCBI's taxonomy places the organism in Eukaryota, Metazoa, Chordata, Mammalia, Carnivora, Mustelidae.
UCUAGCAAAAAUGACAAAAUCUUCCUAAGCUUGUUUUGUGUCCUGAGGAACUUGGCUUGGUAACCACAAGGUCCCAAAAUAGACUGAUGUGGGUUGACUCUGUGACUAGCGUCCUGCUGGAGCCCUCAGAAGAUCAUGACCUAGAAGUACAAUGGCUGUUACAUGGAAGGUUCCAAUUAGGUAAGAUCAUUUAAGAAUGAGACCUGAAAGCACAGGUUCUCAAUUGAACAGAAUGGGAUACCCAUUUCAUGUGGCAUGCAGACACCUCCAAAAGGUUUCAAAAUUCCAAAAACAGUUUCACUGAAAGGUUUUAUUGCAAAAAAGUUAAAAAUUAAAAAGAGAAAAACGUAGGUACCUAUAACAAGACUGUAAGACUGAGUACUCGUUCUCAUCUGAAUUUUAAAAGACUACAUAAACAUCAACAAAAUUCAGCCAAGUUAAGGGCCUUACAGACAUCCUGUUAUCUGCCUUCUAAACAGGGCCCUCAUAUGAGCCCCUGCCAGAGCUGACAAAGCUGAGGGAUUUUCUGAUAACUGCUACAUCAUUCCUUAGACAGUCAAGGGGAGACCAGGAGAAACCAGAUCGUGCUGAGGGGAUCCUGGACAAACUGGCAGAAGCCAGCAAAAGGUGAAAAUUCUUACCAGAGUCUGCUGUUCCAAAUCUCUGCCUGCCAAGUCAAACAGAAAAUAAAAUCACACUGUCCUUCCCUUCUAAACCCAGGCCCACUGGUUAGUGAUCCCUUCUCUCCCAGGGACAGCUACUGUCUUUCCUGUUUAUCUGGUUUUGCACAACUGGGUUGGCUUUCUGCCUGCUUGGGACAGGCAGGUUGUUGGUUCUGUCUUUUGGCCAUCAUUGUGAGUGAUUCUAGAUUUUAGAUUUUAGAUUUUCUAGGGAAGUUGAUAUCCUCUGUACCCUCCUUGCUGAUCCAUCUUUUUUACCCAACAGAAUCUAUUCAAUACUGCCAAAAAUACAUAAAGUUACAACGAUGUACCCAGAGGGGAAAAAAGCAAACUGAGGAUACUACAGUUGGACAGCUGCAGCAAGCUCUGAUGCCAUAUUUUAUUUAUUUAUUUGUCAGAGAGAAGAGAGAGUGCACAAGCAGGCAGAGCUGCAGGCAGAGGCAGAAAGAGAAGCAGGCUCCCCACUAAACAAAGAGCCCGAUGCGGAACUCAAUCCCAGCACCUUGGGAUCGUGACCUGACCUGAAAGCAGUGGCUUAACCGACUGAGCCACCCAGGUUCUCCUAGCUUCUUAUUCUUUUAUGUAUGUCUUCUAGAUGGGUUGAGAUUUCCCCUACUGUAAGACUGAUGUCCUCAUAGGAAAAACCAACCAAAAAAAAAAAAAAAAGACUUAAAACUGUGUUUUCCACUUGGGGUUAUAUUUCCAAAUCACAUGAGCCUCAACGAAAACCUUACAAGCUUCUUGGAAUUCUAUCAAUACACAACCUUCUGAUCCUUUGGCGUCUCAUGCUCGUGUGACCAACUACUUAAUGUCUUGUGCUCAAGCCUGUCAUCCAUAGAUUCAAGAAGCUUUCCUGGAUCCCAAUUCAAAGAAACCUGUUGAUCAUAGCCUAGAGUUUGGUGACUGUAUAAACAAUGCCAGGGGAAAACCACCCUCCAGCCCCACUGGAAAAGGACCUUUCCAGGUGUUCCUGACCACUGACACUGAAGCCCAAUACACAUCACACAGAAAAGGCUCCAGUCGACACCUGGUCCUGUACAGAUGCUAGAGACCUCCACACAUCAAAGGGACAAGCAGAAGUAGCGAACUUCGAGGCAAUCGUCUUCCACCCCGGAUGACAGAUGGACUUCAUACGCUGACUAAAUCUUUGGCAUCUGUACUACAUUCACCUACCUGUACGUGACGUGACAAGAAUGAUGGAUCCAGAUGAGUUUGUUGAACCUCUGGUGGCCACUGGAACACAGCUGGAGCCCCACAUGAAAACUCUGAUCUGCUUCUUGUACGGGAACGCAACGGAAAUAUCUGUAUUUGUAGUCAAGUGGUUUCUAUAAAAGAAAAAGUGUGUCAGCUAUCAUGAACCCCCCUCAGUGAUACAUAAAACUAUGACAGGCACCUAUCAUGCAAAGGUAAAGUAAAAGUAACAUCUUCUCUGCACACGGCAGGGGGGGUCUUGGGUAUCAAAUGAGAAGGUGGAUGAGUGCCCUGAAAAAUGGUAAGCCCUCUAAAAACAAGGUUUUCUCUCCUUCAUCGGCUCAGGUACUCAACACAACCACCCCAAGUGUUAAGUAUGACUGUACACUGCUGUUUAAUGGCUAAAAGAAUGAAGACCCCAAUCGAGUCCCACAUCGGGCUCUCUGCUCAGCGGGGAAAGUGCUUCCUCCUCUCUCUCACUGCCUGCCUCUCUGCCUACUUGUGAUCUCCCUCUGUCAAAUAAAUAAAUAAAAUCUUUAAAAAAAAAAAAAAAAAAAAAAGAA